GACGAACGCUGGCGGCGUGCUUAACACAUGCAAGUCGAACGGAAAGGCCCUGCUUUUGUGGGGUGCUCGAGUGGCGAACGGGUGAGUAACACGUGAGUAACCUGCCCUUGACUUUGGGAUAACUUCAGGAAACUGGGGCUAAUACCGGAUAGGAGCUCCUGCUGCAUGGUGGGGGUUGGAAAGUUUCGGCGGUUGGGGAUGGACUCGCGGCUUAUCAGCUUGUUGGUGGGGUAGUGGCUUACCAAGGCUUUGACGGGUAGCCGGCCUGAGAGGGUGACCGGCCACAUUGGGACUGAGAUACGGCCCAGACUCCUACGGGAGGCAACAGUGGGGAAUAUUGCACAAUGGGCGGAAGCCUGAUGCAGCAACGCCGCGUGCGGGAUGACGGCCUUCGGGUUGUAAACCGCUUUCGCCUGUGACGAAGCGUGAGUGACGGUAAUGGGUAAGGAAGCACCGGCUAACUACGU
This 467-nucleotide ribosomal RNA is filed under the name uncultured bacterium. RNAcentral's name for it is "partial 16S ribosomal RNA". It matches the Rfam family "Bacterial small subunit ribosomal RNA", at positions 28 to 506 of the family's 1533-position model. The record is from RNAcentral.